CGCGUGAGGAACCUGCCUUUCAGUGGGGGACAACAGUUGGAAACGACUGCUAAUACCGCAUAACAUAUCUACAUCGCAUGGUGUGGAUAUCAAAGAUUUAUCGCUGAGAGAUGGCCUCGCGUCUGAUUAGCUAGUUGGUAGGGUAACGGCCUACCAAGGCGACGAUCAGUAGCCGGACUGAGAGGUUGGCCGGCCACAUUGGGACUGAGAUACGGCCCAGACUCCUACGGAAGGCAGCAG
RNAcentral lists this ribosomal RNA (240 nucleotides) under uncultured bacterium. RNAcentral's name for it is "partial 16S ribosomal RNA". It matches the Rfam family "Bacterial small subunit ribosomal RNA", at positions 114 to 354 of the family's 1533-position model. The record is from RNAcentral.